RNAcentral lists this ribosomal RNA (497 nucleotides) under uncultured bacterium. RNAcentral describes it as "partial 16S ribosomal RNA". It matches the Rfam family "Bacterial small subunit ribosomal RNA", at positions 28 to 507 of the family's 1533-position model. The record is from RNAcentral.
GAUGAACGCUGGCGGCGUGCCUAAUCCAUGCAAGUCGAGCGAACAGAUAAGGAGCUUGCUCCUUUGACGUUAGCGGCGGACGGGUGAGUAACACGUGGGUAACCUACCUAUAAGACUGGGAUAACUUCGGGAAACCGGAGCUAAUACCGGAUAACAUUUGGAACCGCAUGGUUCUAAAGUGAAAGAUGGUUUUGCUAUCACUUAUAGAUGGACCCACGCCGUAUUAGCUAGUUGGUAAGGUAACGGCUUACCAAGGCGACGAUACGUAGCCGACCUGAGAGGGUGAUCGGCCACACUGGAACUGAGACACGGUCCAGACUCCUACGGGAGGCAGCAGUAGGGAAUCUUCCGCAAUAGGCGAAAGCCUGACGGAGCAACGCCGCGUGAGUGAUGAAGGGUUUCGGCUCGUAAAACUCUGUUAUUAGGGAAGAACAAAUGUGUAAGUAACUGUGCACGUCUUGACGGUACCUAAUCAGAAAGCCACGGCUAACUACGUG